Molecule: ribosomal RNA, 441 nt
Filed under: uncultured bacterium
Lineage: Bacteria
Description: partial 16S ribosomal RNA
Rfam family: Bacterial small subunit ribosomal RNA
Source: RNAcentral
CCUACGGGAGGCAGCAGUAGGGAAUUUUGCGCAAUGGGCGAAAGCCUGACGCAGCAACGCCGCGUGAUUGAUUAAGCUCCUCGGGGUGUAAAGAUCCGUCUGUGGGGGCGAAACUUGACGGUACACACAGAGGAAGCACCGGCUAACUCCGUGCCAGCAGCCGCGGUCAUACGGAGGGUGCAAGCGUUGUCCGGAAUCACUGGGCGUAAAGGGUUCGUAGGUGGCAUAUUAAGUCUAGUGUUAAAUGCAGAAGCUCAACUUCUGUUCGGCACUGGAUACUGGUAAGCUUGAAUGCGGUAGAGGUAAGGGGAAUUCCUAGUGUAGCGGUGAAAUGCGUAGAUAUCAGGAGGAACAUCGGUGGCGUAGGCGCUAUACUGGGGCGUAUUUGACACUGAGGAACGAAAGCCGGGGUAGCAAAUGGGAUUAGAUACCCCUGUAGUC